RNAcentral lists this ribosomal RNA (490 nucleotides) under uncultured bacterium. RNAcentral describes it as "partial 16S ribosomal RNA". It matches the Rfam family "Bacterial small subunit ribosomal RNA", at positions 30 to 507 of the family's 1533-position model. The record is from RNAcentral.
AUUGAACGCUGGCGGCAGGCCUAACACAUGCAAGUCGAACGGUAACAGGAAGAAGCUUGCUUCUUUGCUGACGAGUGGCGGACGGGUGAGUAAUGUCUGGGAAACUGCCUGAUGGAGGGGGAUAACUACUGGAAACGGUAGCUAAUACCGCAUAACGUCGCAAGACCAAAGAGGGGGACCUUCGGGCCUCUUGCCAUCGGAUGUGCCCAGAUGGGAUUAGCUAGUAGGUGGGGUAACGGCUCACCUAGGCGACGAUCCCUAGCUGGUCUGAGAGGAUGACCAGCCACACUGGAACUGAGACACGGUCCAGACUCCUACGGGAGGCAGCAGUGGGGAAUACUGCACAAUGGGCGCAAGCCUGAUGCAGCCAUGCCGCGUGUAUGAAGAAGGCCUUCGGGUUGUAAAGUACUUUCAGCGGGGAGGAAGGGAGUAAAGUUAAUACCUUUGCUCAUUGACGUUACCCGCAGAAGAAGCACCGGCUAACUCCGUG